AGACGUCCACAUUAGAUACCCGCGUAGUCCCAGCCGUAAACUAUGCGCGUUAGGUGUAUCGGUGACCACGAGUCACCGAGGUGCCGAAGGGAAACCGUGAAACGUGCCGCCUGGGAAGUACGGUCGCAAGGCUGAAACUUAAAGGAAUUGGCGGGGAGCACCACAACGGGUGGAGCCUGCGGUUUAAUUGGACUCAACGCCGGGAAGCUCACCGGAUAAGACAGCGGAAUGAUUGCCGGGCUGAAGACUCUGCAUGACUAGCUG
RNAcentral lists this ribosomal RNA (264 nucleotides) under uncultured archaeon. Its description in RNAcentral is "partial 16S ribosomal RNA". It matches the Rfam family "Archaeal small subunit ribosomal RNA", at positions 717 to 982 of the family's 1478-position model. The record is from RNAcentral.